This 235-nucleotide long non-coding RNA is filed under the name Musa acuminata (dwarf banana). RNAcentral describes it as "long non-coding RNA (MACU_LNC009671)". The record is from RNAcentral. Lineage: Eukaryota; Viridiplantae; Streptophyta; Magnoliopsida; Zingiberales; Musaceae.
UCAAAGUGAUUUGCUAGUGGAAGUUGGGAGCCUCAUCGAAGAAGACUUCGCAAGUAGAUGUAGGUCAUUUGACCGAACCAUUAUAAAAUUGGCGUGUUCUCUGGUUUGCAUUUACUUAUUGCUAUUUACCUUACUGCAAACCUUCAUACGUGCUUUACUUCGUCAUUACUUUUUCUGCACACCUUUACGAACACGCUUUCAAGUUAAGCACUUCCGAGUUCGGUUUUUAUCGUAC